This 735-nucleotide ribosomal RNA is filed under the name uncultured bacterium. Its description in RNAcentral is "bacterial SSU rRNA". It matches the Rfam family "Bacterial small subunit ribosomal RNA", at positions 28 to 776 of the family's 1533-position model. The record is from RNAcentral.
GACGAACGCUGGCGGCGCGCCUAACACAUGCAAGUCGAACGAGAGAGAGGAAGCUUGCUUCCUUAAUCGAGUGGCGGACGGGUGAGUAACGCGUGAGGAACCUGCCUCAAAGAGGGGGACAACAGUUGGAAACGACUGCUAAUACCGCAUAAGCCCACAGCUCGGCAUCGAGCAGAGGGAAAAGGAGUGAUCCGCUUUGAGAUGGCCUCGCGUCCGAUUAGCUAGUUGGUGAGGUAACGGCCCACCAAGGCGACGAUCGGUAGCCGGACUGAGAGGUUGAACGGCCACAUUGGGACUGAGACACGGCCCAGACUCCUACGGGAGGCAGCAGUGGGGAAUAUUGCACAAUGGGGGAAACCCUGAUGCAGCGACGCCGCGUGGAGGAAGAAGGUCUUCGGAUUGUAAACUCCUGUUGUUGAGGAAGAUAAUGACGGUACUCAACAAGGAAGUGACGGCUAACUACGUGCCAGCAGCCGCGGUAAAACGUAGGUCACAAGCGUUGUCCGGAAUUACUGGGUGUAAAGGGAGCGCAGGCGGGAAAGCAAGUUGGAAGUGAAAUCCAUGGGCUCAACCCAUGAACUGCUUUCAAAACUGUUUUUCUUGAGUAGUGCAGAGGUAGGCGGAAUUCCCGGUGUAGCGGUGGAAUGCGUAGAUAUCGGGAGGAACACCAGUGGCGAAGGCGGCCUACUGGGCACCAACUGACGCUGAGGCUCGAAAGUGUGGGUAGCAAACAGG